UAUUGGAUGGAUCACAGGA
RNAcentral lists this non-coding RNA (19 nucleotides) under Mus musculus (house mouse). Lineage: Eukaryota; Metazoa; Chordata; Mammalia; Rodentia; Muridae. The record is from RNAcentral.